Molecule: small nuclear RNA, 104 nt
Filed under: Carlito syrichta (Philippine tarsier)
Lineage: Eukaryota; Metazoa; Chordata; Mammalia; Primates; Tarsiidae
Source: RNAcentral
GCUCACUUUGGCGGGGCAAAUUCUAAAGUUGGAACAACACAGAGAAGAAUAGCAUGGCCCCUGGGAAAGAUGAUAUGCAAAUUCAUGAAGUGUUCAAUAUUUUU